Quercus robur (English oak) is the source of this 778-nucleotide long non-coding RNA. RefSeq lists it as uncharacterized. The transcript is spliced from 4 exons. The record is from RefSeq and is a predicted model, not a curated record. Lineage: Eukaryota; Viridiplantae; Streptophyta; Magnoliopsida; Fagales; Fagaceae.
UCCAAAACUCUCUCAAGCUGUGCCUUACACUCUCUCAAGCUGUGCCUUACACUCUCUCAAGCCAGCCGACACCGACGCCGACCGAGCUUGACGACACCGACCCAGGCUUUCGUCGGUGACGCUGACCUCAAACCCAUUAAACCCAUUGCGACGCUUCAGCUCCGAUUUCUCCGUUUGGCAACGUUUCAACUCCGAUUUCUCCAUUUCGCGACGCUUCAUCUCCAAUUUCUCUAUUUCACGACGAUUCAGACGCCGAUCGCGACGCUUCAGCUCCAUCCAACGACGCUUCAGUUCGCUCCAUCCGGCGACGCUUCAAUUACUCCAUCCAGCGACGCUUCAGUUCACGACACUGCCGGCGACGCUUCAUUUCGCGACGUUGCUGGCGACGCUUUCGGUGACCCUUCACCUUCCACCCAGCCAGUGACCCUUCACCUCCCACCCAAUUGGCGACCCUUCGCCUCCUAAACAUGAAAGCAUUUCAACAGCUAAAUACACAUUGUUUGCAAUAACUUUGGAUUUUUUCUGAAAGUUGUAAGCUUAGCUUGAGAAAAAUUUCUUAUUGGUGGUUUUUAGGGGAUUUACUUUUGGCAUUACUUGAAGACAUAUGAGGACAUCUUCCGUUAGUUCUAAAAUAGGGUUUAGGUAGAGUUAUUGUAUGUAUUGCAAAAAAUUAUUAUCUGGAAGGAGUUUGAAUUGGAUACUUGUUUUAUUUUUUACUUGUGGAAUGUAUGGAUCUUUUUUUUAUAAAUGUGUUGUUGAAAUAAAUGUAUUAUUCAAA